CAUUGCAUGUCUAAUAAAGUCAUCAACCCCUUCUACAAAAUCCUCCCGCAAUCCUAAAUUUCAAUUCAUAUCCACAAAAGUUCAAUUCAUAUCCUAAAGGCUCAAUUCAUAUCCUAAAAGUUCAAUUCAUACACAAAAAUUUCAAUUCAUAUCAUAAAAGUUCAAUUCAUACACAAAAAUUUCAAUUCAUAUCCUAAAGGUUCAACUCAUAUCCACAAAAGCUCAAGUCAUAUCCUAAAAUUUCAAUUUAUAAACUAAAAUUUCAAUACAUAAACCAAAAAUUUCAAUUCAUAUCCUAAAGGUUCAAUUCAUAUCCUAAAGGUUCAACGCAUAUCCACAAAAGUUCAAGUCAUAUCCUAAAAUUUCAAUUUAUAAACUAAAAUUCCAAUACAUAAACCAAAAUUUCAAUUCAUAUUCUAAAGGUUCAACUCAUAUCCACAAAAAUUCAAGUCAUAUCCUAAAAUUUCAAUUUAUAAACUAAAAUUCCAAUACAUAAACCAAAAUUUCAAUUCAUAUCCUAAAGGUUCAAUUCAUAUCCUAAAGGUUCAACUAAUAUCCAUAAAAGUUCAAGUCAUAUCCUAAAAUUUCAAUUUAUAAACUAAAAUUCCAAUACAUAAACCAAAAUUUCAAUUCAUAUCCUAAAGGUUCAAUUCAUAUCUUAAAGGUUCAACUCAUAUCCACAAAAGUUCAAGUCAUAUCCUAAAAUUUUAAUUUAUAAACUAAAAUUCCAAUACAUAAACCAAAAUUUCAAUUCAUAUCCUAAAGAUUCAACUCAUAUCCACAAAAUUUCAAGUCAUAUCCUAAAAUUUCAAUUUAUAAUCUAA
This 824-nucleotide long non-coding RNA is filed under the name Nicotiana tabacum (common tobacco). RNAcentral's name for it is "long non-coding RNA (NTAB_LNC002220)". Lineage: Eukaryota; Viridiplantae; Streptophyta; Magnoliopsida; Solanales; Solanaceae. The record is from RNAcentral.